This 468-nucleotide ribosomal RNA is filed under the name uncultured bacterium. RNAcentral's name for it is "partial 16S ribosomal RNA". It matches the Rfam family "Bacterial small subunit ribosomal RNA", at positions 28 to 507 of the family's 1533-position model. The record is from RNAcentral.
GACGAACGCUGGCGGCGUGCUUAACACAUGCAAGUCGAACGGAAAGGCCCUGCUUUUGUGGGGUGCUCGAGUGGCGAACGGGUGAGUAACAAGUGAGUAACAUGCCCUUGACAUUGGGAUAACUUAAGGAAACUGGGGCAAAGACAGGAAAGGAGCUACUGCGUGAUGGAGGGGGAGGGAAAGGUUAGGCGGGUGUGGAUGGGCUGGCGGCUUAGCUGCUUGCUGGUGGGGCAGUGGCUUAACAAGGCAUUGACGCGUAGCCGGCCUGAGCGGGUGAACUGCCACAUUGGGACUGAGAUACGGCCCAUACUCCUACCGUACGCAGCCGUGGGGAAUAUUUCACAAUGGUCGGCAUCCUGAUCCAGCACCUCCGCGUCCUGGAUGACGGCCUUCGGGUUGUCAACCGCUUUCGCCUGUUACGACGCGUGAUUGACGUUAACGUGUAAAGAAGCACCGGCUAACUCCGUG